Molecule: long non-coding RNA, 960 nt
Organism: Chelonia mydas (Green sea turtle)
Lineage: Eukaryota; Metazoa; Chordata; Testudines; Cheloniidae
Exons: 3
Source: RefSeq, a predicted model, not a curated record
GUGUGUGCUUCACCUUUUCACAUUCAAUAACUCUGCUUGUCUGCAGCGAUGGCAGCCAUUUUGUUCUCUGAAUCCCUGAAGCAUGUAACACAGGAGAUGCACACACUGUGCUCUCUCUCUCAUAGAGACUCUGUGUGUGUGUGUGUGUGUGUGUGUGUGUGUGUUUCCUUUCUUGUUGCUGGCUUUCUUUAAUUUAGAGUGAAGGUAGAUGGCUGCUCUGUGUGUGUGGUGAAAAGCAAAAGUUGGGUUUUGAAUUUUGGGUCUAGAUCACAAUAUGUACUUCACCAGAGUCGAAAGGGCUUUUCUGAUGUAGGGAUCUGGUUCAGACCCACAUCCAGCACAAAUAAUCAUGUGAGCGGUAAACAAGUUGGUGUGUUUUGAAUUUUUUUUUUUUCCCCUUGGUACCUAACUCCGUCUUUAAAAAGACUGAAUCUAGACGCCUGAUCUCCAAGAAUACUGACAUGCCCUGGGUCUGAACAAGGAAAUCAAUCAAUUAUUCAGCAUCAGGAAACUCUCACAAAGCAGCAGGCGAUGUGAAGAGGUGGAUUGUCCAUGCGGGGUCCUGCAGAAAUAGUCAUGCAACCAGCAUGGGCGUGAAAUUGAGCAUUCAUGUGUCCGUGCAAAACUGGCUGAUAUCUUCAAGGCUCUUGCAAGAUCCCUUGCAAUGCUGGCUUUAUUUAACCAUCUUCUGUUCUGCCUCCAAGCAAUUUGAGGUGGCUUGAGCUCUAGCUUCAGUGGGGCACGUUAGCUUUUGCUACAUGGAUUGCUAGAAGUUGGUUGGCUUCAACAAGCAGGCCCCUCUGGCAAUCAAUACAUCCAUUCGUGAGCGGGAACCAGAAGUGGAAAGGACAUUGUCACUAAAUGAGAGAGAGGUGCAUGGGGGGAGGCGGGAGCGGCAUCGAGGCCUCCUGAUACCUGGAAAUGGAGUCGCUAUAUCAUGUGCCUCAAGAAUGAUUAUGA